This 636-nucleotide ribosomal RNA is filed under the name uncultured bacterium. RNAcentral describes it as "bacterial SSU rRNA". It matches the Rfam family "Bacterial small subunit ribosomal RNA", at positions 232 to 878 of the family's 1533-position model. The record is from RNAcentral.
CGCGGCCUAUCAGCUUGUUGGUGGGGUAAUGGCCUACCAAGGCGACGACGGGUAGCCGGCCUGAGAGGGCGACCGGCCACACUGGGACUGAGACACGGCCCAGACUCCUACGGGAGGCAGCAGUGGGGAAUAUUGCGCAAUGGGCGGAAGCCUGACGCAGCGACGCCGCGUGAGGGAUGAAGGCCUUCGGGUCGUAAACCUCUUUCAGUAGGGAAGAAGCGUGAGUGACGGUACCUGCAGAAGAAGCACCGGCUAACUACGUGCCAGCAGCCGCGGUAAUACGUAGGGUGCAAGCGUUGUCCGGAAUUAUUGGGCGUAAAGAGCUCGUAGGCGGUCUGUCGCGUCUGCUGUGAAAACUCAGGGCUUAACCCUGAGCUUGCAGUGGGUACGGGCAGACUAGAGUGCGGUAGGGGAGACUGGAAUUCCUGGUGUAGCGGUGAAAUGCGCAGAUAUCAGGAGGAACACCGGUGGCGAAGGCGGGUCUCUGGGCCGUAACUGACGCUGAGGAGCGAAAGCAUGGGGAGCGAACAGGAUUAGAUACCCUGGUAGUCCAUGCCGUAAACGUUGGGCGCUAGGUGUGGGGACCUUUCCAUGGUUUCCGUGCCGCAGCUAACGCAUUAAGCGCCCCGCCUGGGA